RNAcentral lists this long non-coding RNA (1271 nucleotides) under Chloebia gouldiae (Gouldian finch). Its description in RNAcentral is "Erythrura gouldiae (Gouldian finch) lncRNA (ENSEGOG00005000669.1)". The record is from RNAcentral. Lineage: Eukaryota; Metazoa; Chordata; Aves; Passeriformes; Passeridae.
GCUGAGCCAAGCCUAUUUCUCAUGGAUUCCCAGCUACCAGAGUAGUUUGUUUGGUAUAGUGGUAGCUCCUGCAAAAUUCAGUAGCUCUGCUGGUGUUACAGUUUACACAAGGGACCACGCUGGCAGGGAGACCGCCCUGGGAUGAUGUAAGGAUGGCUUAAAGCUGCAUUUUCACCACCCUCUCUGAAGCCUGCCAAGAACUGUUUGGCCAAAGCUUGGAGCCUGGGCAACAGUCCCUACUUACAGACUCCUUCUAGAAACUCCCCAUAUGAAAUAUAAAGGUUUAUAAAUCUUCACUAUCUUCUUCAUUUGCUACUAUUACAGUUCACAGCUACGUAGCAUAAACUCUGCUGAGCCCUUUGAUAAAAGACCAAGGCAAACUUGGAAUCCAGAAAGGCUUGUUAAAAUUCAUCACUUCAUCGUAAAGUUGUGCUCAUGCUGGUGGAUAUGGAACCCUUCAAAUGAGAAAUAAAAUAAUCAAUUGGACAAGUGAUCUUUUUUAUGUUCCCAGGACAUUUCCCACACAGCUGAAAGUAUUGAAUUUAGUAUAUCUCUAAAAUUCAAAGCUAGUUAACUAUAUUAUGUUCUUAGACUGUUUGUGUUUAUGCAGUAUAAUGGGAGGUCUUUGGUGUCUGUCCUGUUUUAUAGUGUUAAUGUCUUAUGCAGUGAAACAGCUACUGUCUCCUCCUCCAGAGUGGCUGUGUUUCUUCAGAUCAUUAUUUGUUUUUAUAGUUUGGGAUGAAACAACAUAAAACUCUGUCUAUGUGGUACAGCUGCAAAUAAUGCUUCUCUUGCAUGCCUGUAUAUAGAGGAAAAUAAAAAUAUUCUGGGUGCCAUUUCUUCCUGACCCCAGGUAUCUUUAAAUCUCCAAUUAGAGUUUCACCAUCCACGUGUGACAAUGGAGGCUUUGAAAUGCACCUGGAAAUAUAUCUCUCUUUUUUCCUUCCUUCCAUCCUUCCCUCUGACAAGAUUUCAGACUUCUGGAAUCACAUCUGUUCUCUUCUCACCACCUCAAAAAUGCUUCCUGAAGCACCAGCCCAAGCUCACUUUCUGCAACUCAAUGAAACAUCUGUCACCACCACUAGAAACCUUCAAAGUGUGAUGAGGACCUUACAGCACUGGGCCAGCAAAGAAUAACCCUGCUCAAGGCUGGCAGCACACAUUCAGGUUGCUUUAUCAAGGCAUGGUGAUUCUGAAGGGCACUGAAUGCUCUUUGCCAAAGCUUUCUGAGAAAACUAGGUCCAAAAGUGUUGGUGUUAUAUUGAAAUUCC